This 340-nucleotide ribosomal RNA is filed under the name uncultured Glomeromycotina. Its description in RNAcentral is "LSU rRNA". Lineage: Eukaryota; Fungi; Glomeromycota. The record is from RNAcentral.
GAUGAAGUGUCGUACCGACGAGAAAUCAACUUAUCGUGUGCGAACUUGUGGGCGUGCGUGAGUUUCGGCCUCGCUGUUUGUAUGUUUGUGCGUUUUGGGUGUACUUUUUCGUAUGGUAGGCCAACGUCAGUUUCGAUCACUAUAAAAUGACCGGCGGAAUGUAGCUUCGAUCUCGGUUGAAGUGUUAUAGCCUCUGGUAGAUGUGGUGAUUGGGACUGAGGAUUGCAACGAAUAUCCUUUGGGCUAUCCGUCUGAUCUCUGAAAGUUGCUCAGGUGCCGAAAGCGUGCUUAUGGUCAUCUAAGUUAACGGUCAACAGGUUAGAACGUGAUUACAUUCGUU